GAUGAAGAACGUAGCGAAAUGCGAUAAGUAAUGCGAAUUGCAGAAUUUCCGUGAAUCAUCGAAUCUUUGAACGCACAUUGCGCCCGUCAGUAUUCUGGCGGGCAUGCCUGUUCGAGCGUCAUUACGCCCCUCAAGUCCCCUGUGGACUUGGUGUUGGGGAUCGGCGAGGCUGGUUUUCCAGCACAGCCGUCCCUUAAAUUAAUUGGCGGUCUCGCCGUGGCCCUCCUCUGCGCAGUAGUAAAACACUCGCAACAGGAGCCCGGCGCGGUCCACUGCCGUAAAACCCCCCAACUUUUUAUAGUUGACCUCGAAUCAGGUAGGACUACCCGCUGAACUUAAGCAUAUCAAAAGCGGAGGA
Molecule: unclassified non-coding RNA, 358 nt
Filed under: soil metagenome
Description: partial contains 5.8S ribosomal RNA, internal transcribed spacer 2, and large subunit ribosomal RNA
Rfam family: 5.8S ribosomal RNA (bases 1-121)
Source: RNAcentral